AUUUAACGCUGGCGGCAGGCCUAACACAUGCAAGUCUAACGAGUGGCGGACGGGUGAGUAAUGUCUGGGAAACUGCCUUAUGUAGGGGGAUACCUACUGGAAACGGUAGCUAAUACCGCAUACCAUAAGAUGUGCCCCACUGGGAUUCGCUAGUUGGUGGGGUAAAGGCUCACCAAGGCGACGAUCCCUAGCUGGUCUGAGAGGAUGACCAGCCACACUGGAACUGAGACACGGGCCAGACUCCUACGGGAGGCAGCAGUGGGGAAUAUUGAACAAUGGGGGGAAGCCUGAGGCAGCCAUGCCGCGUGAAUGAAGAAGGCCUUCGGGGUGUAAAGUACUUUCAGCAGGGAGGCGUUAACCGCAGAAGAAGCACCGGCUAACUCCGUGCCAGCAGCCGCGGUAAUAC
RNAcentral lists this ribosomal RNA (406 nucleotides) under uncultured bacterium. RNAcentral's name for it is "partial 16S ribosomal RNA". It matches the Rfam family "Bacterial small subunit ribosomal RNA", at positions 30 to 526 of the family's 1533-position model. The record is from RNAcentral.